This 330-nucleotide unclassified non-coding RNA is filed under the name soil metagenome. RNAcentral's name for it is "partial contains 5.8S ribosomal RNA, internal transcribed spacer 2, and large subunit ribosomal RNA". The stretch from base 1 to 120 matches the Rfam family "5.8S ribosomal RNA", at positions 35 to 154 of the family's 154-position model. The record is from RNAcentral.
GAUGAAGAACGUAGCGAAAUGCGAUAAGUAAUGUGAAUUGCAGAAUUCAGUGAAUCAUCGAAUCUUUGAACGCACAUUGCGCCCCUUGGUAUUCCGAGGGGCAUGCCUGUUCGAGCGUCAUUAUAACCCCUCAAGCUUAGCUUGGUGUUGGGGCCUGCUGUAAUAGAGCAGCCCUUAAAAUCAGUGGCGGUGCCAUUAGGCUCUAAGCGUAGUAAUUCUUCUCGCUAUAGGGUUCUGGUGGAUGCUUGCCAUUAACCUCUAAUUUUCUAUGGUUGACCUCGGAUCAGGUAGGGAUACCCGCUGAACUUAAGCAUAUCGAUAAGCGGAGGA